AGAUUGAACGCUAGCGGGAUGCUUUACACAUGCAAGUCGAACGGCAGCGCGGACUUCGGUCUGGCGGCGAGUGGCGAACGGGUGAGUAAUAUAUCGGAACGUGCCCAGUAGCGGGGGGAUAACUACGCGAAAGCGUGGCUAAUACCGCAUACGCCCUACGGGGGAAAGGGGGGGAUCGCAAGACCUCUCACUAUUGGAGCGGCCGAUAUCAGAUUAGCUAGUUGGUGAGGUAAAGGCUCACCAAGGCGACGAUCUGUAGCUGGUUUGAGAGGACGACCAGCCACACUGGGACUGAGACACGGCCCAGACUCCUACGGGAGCAGCAGUGGGGAAUUUGGACAAUGGGGGAAACCUGAUCCAGCCAUCCGCGUGUGCGAUGAAGGCCUUCGGGUUGUAAAGCACUUUGGCAGGGAAGAAACGGCGUGACCCUAAGUACGGACGUCGACUGACGGUACCUGCAGAAUAAGCACCGGCUAACUACGUCGACCAGACAAGGCCGACCGGUAAUAC
RNAcentral lists this ribosomal RNA (510 nucleotides) under uncultured soil bacterium. RNAcentral describes it as "bacterial SSU rRNA". It matches the Rfam family "Bacterial small subunit ribosomal RNA", at positions 26 to 526 of the family's 1533-position model. The record is from RNAcentral.